ACGCUCGACACCUACAGGAGGCAGCAGUGGGGAAUAUUGCACAAUGGAGGAAACUCUGAUGCAGCGAUGCCGCGUGAGGGAAGAAGGUUUUCGGAUUGUAAACCUCUGUCUUUGGGGACGAUAAUGACGGUACCCAAGGAGGAAGCUCCGGCUAACUACGUGCCAGCAGCCGCGGUAAUCUGAGCGGCUGGCAAGGC
This 197-nucleotide ribosomal RNA is filed under the name uncultured bacterium. RNAcentral describes it as "partial 16S ribosomal RNA". It matches the Rfam family "Bacterial small subunit ribosomal RNA", at positions 328 to 539 of the family's 1533-position model. The record is from RNAcentral.